UAAAUAGCCCGGUCGACUUUGGUUGGUCGCUGGCUUCUUAGAGGGACUAUCGGCGUUUAGCCGAUGGAAGUUUGAGGCAAUAACAGGUCUGUGAUGCCCUUAGAUGUUCUGG
RNAcentral lists this ribosomal RNA (112 nucleotides) under Cystobasidiomycetes sp. Its description in RNAcentral is "partial small subunit ribosomal RNA". It matches the Rfam family "Eukaryotic small subunit ribosomal RNA", at positions 1352 to 1485 of the family's 1831-position model. The record is from RNAcentral. Lineage: Eukaryota; Fungi; Basidiomycota; Cystobasidiomycetes.